Molecule: ribosomal RNA, 505 nt
Filed under: uncultured bacterium
Lineage: Bacteria
Description: partial 16S ribosomal RNA
Rfam family: Bacterial small subunit ribosomal RNA
Source: RNAcentral
GACGAACGCUGGCGGCGUGCCUAAUACAUGCAAGUCGAACGCAAAGAUUAUAACAUAGCUUGCUAAACGAUAGACUGUGAGUUGCGAACGGGGGAGUAACGCGUAGGUAACCUGCCUGGUAGCGGGGGAUAACUAAAGGAAACGAAAGAUAAUACAGCAUAAUAUUAAUUAAUGAAUGAAAAUUAAUAGAAAGGUGGAAUUGAACAACUACCAGAUGGACAGGCGGUGUAUUAGGUAGUAGGCGAGGUAAGGGCUCACCCAGGCCGCGGUACAUAGCCGGCCUUGGAGGGUUGACGGCCACCCUUGGACUGGAACACCGCCCAGACUCCUACGGGAGGCAGCAGUUGGGGAUCUUCGGCAAUUGACGACAGUCUUACCCAGCACCUCCGCGUUAGUUAAGAAGGUUCUCGGAUCGUAAAGCUCUGUUUUAUGGGAAGAACGAGUGUCAGAUUGGAACGUUCACACUGUGACGGUAUCUUACCAGAAAGCGACGGCUAACUACGUG